RNAcentral lists this small nuclear RNA (107 nucleotides) under Microcebus murinus (gray mouse lemur). The record is from RNAcentral. Lineage: Eukaryota; Metazoa; Chordata; Mammalia; Primates; Cheirogaleidae.
GUGCUCACUUCAGCAGCACAUAUACUAAAAUUGGAAUGAUACAGAGAAGAUUAGCAUGGCCCUUGCAUAAGGAUGACAUGCGAAUUUGUGAAGCGUUCUAUAAAAUG